Molecule: non-coding RNA, 1100 nt
Organism: Lolium perenne
Lineage: Eukaryota; Viridiplantae; Streptophyta; Magnoliopsida; Poales; Poaceae
Source: RefSeq, a predicted model, not a curated record
AUUCGUUUGGAGGACGGUUUGCGCGACCCGGAGAUGCUCGCGGCGUCACCGCCGCCAACCGCCCCUUUCGCCCUCGUCCCGUCACCGCCGCCUCCGUUCCCCUUCACACCAUAGCUUCUCUUCAAUCUCCUCUCCCACGCACUGCCGGAGAACUGAACGCCCGCCCCCCAACUCUCCACCGUGCGAGCCAGAUGGGUCAGGUCACCGGAACCGGAAGCACUGGAAAUCGGGAGAGUUCGCGGAGACGUCCGAGUCCGGGAGGAAGGGUGGCGCUCGCAGCCGCAGCCCCGUCAAGACGCGGCUGGAUGCACGGGCCGACGCUAGCUAAGGCGCGGGUCUGCAGACUCUGCACCGUCAUGGAGGCCCUCGCGCGCCGACCUCAUCGCCACCAAUAAUUGGCAGCAGGCCCUCCAGGCAUUACUACCUCAAGGGAAGAGUGAAUUACCUGCAUGGGUACAAUAUGGUAGAAGAUGGAGGACAACUAAGGCAUCCAUGAAGUCUGCUGCUUGGCCCACAGUCUACAAGGUCAUGUGCAUGAAGACGAUAUUGCCAACUCGUCAAUGGCCAUGCACGGCGUCAUGGCUGAUUUGCUCGUCAGCCGCUGCUGUUUGGUGUCCAAAGUACACGGCGAUGAAUGCGGGCCUAGGCGACAAGAACCCCCCGCCUUUCUUCAGCACGAUUGUACAUGUCGAUUAGACAAUUACGAUUACCAUGGUGCUGGCUGGAGCGGGUAAUCUCAACUUCUCAUGUCGAGUUUGAGACCGUAGAGUGAUGGUGGAGGCGAUGAUCUUGAAUUUGGGAAGACGAUGAUUCAUAGCUUGUUGCGCGAAUAUAGUUUCAUUUGAAUGGCAAUUUUUAUGUCGGAACUGUGGGAGUGCUUACUGUGUGCCUUAUGAUCAGUGCGUUGCAGCAGAGGCUGUAUUUCUUCUGUUGCGAGUUGCUAAUCAUUUUGGCAAGGCAUUUUUUCCCUUUUUAUUUAUUUAUAUCCUUUUGACUGUGUGCAUCUUUGAUGUCUCAACUAGUUCUUGAUAUCAUGUUGUUUCAGAGGCCGGAUGUAAUUGGCAUCUUUUGGAUAUUAAUAUAUUCCUUUUAUCGAAAAA